Molecule: long non-coding RNA, 456 nt
Organism: Oxyura jamaicensis (ruddy duck)
Lineage: Eukaryota; Metazoa; Chordata; Aves; Anseriformes; Anatidae
Exons: 3
Source: RefSeq, a predicted model, not a curated record
UAUACCAGCAGAGAAUAUGUCCUCUUUAUUUUUUUCAUACCUGUACCAAAUUUUGUUUCCAAAUUGAAGUUACAGUCAAGACUGAAUAGACAUGAUGAAUGGGAAAUUAACUGCACAAAUCAAGCAAUCAGCGCUGGCACCUGGAGGGGCGGAGGUUGUUAAGUUCAUCUUGGGGAGAAGAGAGCUGGAGUACAAUGUAUCACUCAUUUUGCAUUUGUCAUGAGGAAAUACACAGCAUUACACAGCCUACACAGCCAUAGACAAGGCUGCAAAUUCCACAUUUUGCAGUGGUGGUGACAGGGAGGUGAUACCUGUGGGGCUGUGUAUAUGAGAAAGAUUCCUGUGUAAAUGCUCCCACAGACUGGAAUCCCAACUGACGGAUGAAUAAAUUGGAGUAAAAGAGAUGAUUUUGACUGUGUUUUUCCAAAGAAGGAGGUCUUUAGCACAACUCUUCAU